This 643-nucleotide ribosomal RNA is filed under the name uncultured bacterium. Its description in RNAcentral is "bacterial SSU rRNA". It matches the Rfam family "Bacterial small subunit ribosomal RNA", at positions 232 to 885 of the family's 1533-position model. The record is from RNAcentral.
CGCGGCCUAUCAGCUUGUUGGUGAGGUAAUGGCUCACCAAGGCGUCGACGGGUAGCCGGCCUGAGAGGGCGACCGGCCACACUGGGACUGGGACACGGCCCAGACUCCUACGGGAGGCAGCAGUGGGGAAUAUUGCGCAAUGGGCGAAAGCCUGACGCAGCAACGCCGCGUGAGGGAUGACGGCCUUCGGGUUGUAAACCUCUUUCAGCAGGGACGAAGCGAAAGUGACUGUACCUGCAGAAGAAGCGCCGGCUAACUACGUGCCAGCAGCCGCGGUAAUACGUAGGGCGCAAGCGUUGUCCGGAUUUAUUGGGCGUAAAGAGUUCGUAGGCGGUCUGUCGCGUCGGAAGUGAAAACCCGGAGCUCAACUCCGGGCCUGCUUUCGAUACGGGCAGACUUGAGUGUUGCAGGGGAGACUGGAAUUCCUGGUGUAGCGGUGGAAUGCGCAGAUAUCAGGAGGAACACCGGUGGCGAAGGCGGGUCUCUGGGCAACAACUGACGCUGAGGAACGAAAGCGUGGGGAGCGAACAGGAUUAGAUACCCUGGUAGUCCACGCUGUAAACGGUGGGCACUAGGUGUGGGGACCAUUCCACGGUCUCUGCGCCGCAGCUAACGCAUUAAGUGCCCCGCCUGGGGAGUACGG